Molecule: ribosomal RNA, 806 nt
Filed under: uncultured marine bacterium
Lineage: Bacteria
Description: bacterial SSU rRNA
Rfam family: Bacterial small subunit ribosomal RNA
Source: RNAcentral
UGCAGUCGAACGAGAAAGGGAUCUUCGGAUUCUGAGUAAAGUGGCGCACGGGUGAGUAACGCGUAAGUAAUCUACCCUGGUAUUUGGGACAACAUCGGGAAACUGAUGCUAAUACCGAAUACGUUUUCCAUGUAGCGAUACGAGGAAAAGAAAGGUGGCCUCUUCAUGAAAGCUACCGUACCAGGAUGAGCCUGCGUACCAUUAGCUAGUUGGUAGGGUAAAGGCCUACCAAGGCUACGAUGGUUAGCGGGUCUGAGAGGAUGAUCCGCCACACUGGCACUGAAACACGGGCCAGACUCCUACGGGAGGCAGCAGUGAGGAAUUUUGCACAAUGGGGGAAACCCUGAUGCAGCGACGCCGCGUGAGUGAUGAAGGCCUUAGGGUCGUAAAGCUCUGUCAAUAGGGAAGAAAUGUGUAAUGGUUAAUACCUGUUACAUUUGACGGUACCUAUAAAGGAAGCACCGGCUAAAUCCGUGCCAGCAGCCGCGGUAAUACGGAUGGUGCGAGCGUUGUUCGGAAUUACUGGGCGUAAAGGGCGCGUAGGCGGCCUUACAAGUCAGGUGUGAAAGUCCACGGCUCAACCGUGGAAGUGCAUUUGAAACUGUAAGGCUUGAGUACUGGAGGGGAGUGUGGAAUUCCUGGUGUAGAGGUGAAAUUCGUAGAUAUCAGGAGGAAUACCGGUGGCGAAGGCGACACUCUGGACAGAUACUGACGCUGAGGCGCGAAAGCGUGGGGAGCAAACAGGAUUAGAUACCCUGGUAGUCCACAGCUGUAAACGAUGUGCACUAGGUGUAGGGGGUCGUUGA